Molecule: ribosomal RNA, 317 nt
Filed under: uncultured bacterium
Lineage: Bacteria
Description: bacterial SSU rRNA
Rfam family: Bacterial small subunit ribosomal RNA
Source: RNAcentral
GACGAACGCUGGCGGCGCGCCUAACACAUGCAAGUCGAACGGAGUUACAUUGAAAGCUUGCUGGAUAUGUAACUUAGUGGCGGACGGGUGAGUAACACGUGAGUAAUCUGCCUUCCAGAGGGGAAUAACGUUUGGAAACGACUGCUAAUACCGCAUAAGCCCACGACCUGGCAUCGGGUUGAGGGAAAAGGAGCAAUCCGCUUUGAGAUGGCCUCGCGUCCGAUUAGCUAGUUGGUGAGGUAACGGCCCACCAAGGCGACGAUCGGUAGCCGGACUGAGAGGUUGAACGGCCACAUUGGGACUGAGACACGGCCCAG